RNAcentral lists this ribosomal RNA (484 nucleotides) under uncultured bacterium. Its description in RNAcentral is "partial 16S ribosomal RNA". It matches the Rfam family "Bacterial small subunit ribosomal RNA", at positions 28 to 507 of the family's 1533-position model. The record is from RNAcentral.
AUUGAACGCUGGCGGCAUGCUUUACACAUGCAAGUCGAACGGCAGCGCGGGCUUCGGCCUGGCGGCGAGUGGCGAACGGGUGAGUAAUGCAUCGGAACGUGCCCAGUAGUGGGGGAUAGCCCGGCGAAAGCCGGAUUAAUACCGCAUACGACCUGAGGGUGAAAGCGGGGGACCGAAAGGCCUCGCGCUAUUGGAGCGGCCGAUGUCGGAUUAGCUAGUUGGUGGGGUAAAGGCUUACCAAGGCGACGAUCCGUAGCUGGUCUGAGAGGACGAUCAGCCACACUGGGACUGAGACACGGCCCAGACUCCUACGGGAGGCAGCAGUGGGGAAUUUUGGACAAUGGGGGCAACCCUGAUCCAGCCAUGCCGCGUGCGGGAAGAAGGCCUUCGGGUUGUAAACCGCUUUUGUUCGGGAAGAAAUCCUCUGGGCUAAUACCCCGGGGGGAUGACGGUACCGGAAGAAUAAGCACCGGCUAACUACGUG